CCCUAGAGGAGCCUGUUCCAUAAUCGAUAAACCCCGAUCCACCUCACCCUCUCUUGCUUAGCCUAUAUACCGCCAUCUUCAGCAAACCCUGAUAAAGGUUACAAAGUGAGCACAAACGCCCUACCGCCGCAAAAACGUUAGGUCAAGGUGUAGCCAAUGAAAGGGCAAAAAUGGGCUACAUUUUCUACAUCAGAAAACUCCACGAAAACUCUUAUGAAACCUGAGAGUCCAAGGAGGAUUUAGCAGUAAAUUAAGAAUAGAGUGCUUAAUUGAACCAGGCCAUAAAGCGCGUACACACCGCCCGUCACUCCCCUCAAAUAUAUUUAAGGAACAUCUUAACUAAACGCCCUAAUAUUUAUAUAGAGGGGAUAAGUCGUAACAUGGUAAGUGUACUGGAAGGUGCACUUGGAC
RNAcentral lists this ribosomal RNA (411 nucleotides) under Macaca ochreata (booted macaque). RNAcentral's name for it is "partial 12S ribosomal RNA". It matches the Rfam family "Bacterial small subunit ribosomal RNA", at positions 925 to 1522 of the family's 1533-position model. Lineage: Eukaryota; Metazoa; Chordata; Mammalia; Primates; Cercopithecidae. The record is from RNAcentral.